This 236-nucleotide ribosomal RNA is filed under the name uncultured bacterium. Its description in RNAcentral is "partial 16S ribosomal RNA". It matches the Rfam family "Bacterial small subunit ribosomal RNA", at positions 118 to 353 of the family's 1533-position model. The record is from RNAcentral.
UGAGCAAUCUGCCCUUCUCAUCGGAAUAAGCGUGGGAAACGACGUCUAAUGCCGAAUACGACCUCCUUUCACAUGAUCGGAGGUGGAAAGCUCCGGCGGAGAAGGAUGAGCUCGCGGCCUAUCAGCUAGUUGGUGUGGGUAACGCCCACCAAGGCGACGACGGGUAGCCGGCCUGAGAGGGUGACCGGCCACACUGGGACUGAGACACGGCCCAGACCUCCGUACGGGAGGCAGCG